Molecule: long non-coding RNA, 527 nt
Organism: Cydia amplana
Lineage: Eukaryota; Metazoa; Arthropoda; Insecta; Lepidoptera; Tortricidae
Exons: 3
Source: RefSeq, a predicted model, not a curated record
UGGUAAAAGGUUAUACAGGGUGAUUCAGGAGACGUGAGCAGGACUAACACUGCGCAUUUCGUAAAUUAUAAGCAACUGUUUCGUAUCAGUAUUAGUGAGGUUAACGUUAAUUUUCUAGUCGUGUUGAAAAAAAUAAAGUUGUUAAUUUAUUUACGACAUGCCCUAAAAUUACCCUAAAAUUAGAAUACUAAACUACCGAUAUUCUGUGUCAAAUUGAAUGUCAUCACUGUCAUCACGGUCUGGUUACAUUUGAAAAUUCGUAUCUCACUCAAGUUUGACAGUUUAUUUUCUUCGUAAUCAAAAUGCUGUCAUUACGGUUAAAGAGGUUUUAUGUUUAUUAAUUAGGUCUUGUAGGGUGACCAUGAUUGUAGAGAAUUAAAUUUGCCCUCACCAAAAUGUUAAAAAAUAGGAAAAAGUGUGGUUGUUUCACCUAAAUACGACGGUGUUCGAUCAAUUAUCAGUUACUGAGUGCGCAGGAUUAGUCCUGCUCACGUCUCAUGAAUCACCCUGUAUACAUUUUGACGACC